Molecule: ribosomal RNA, 497 nt
Filed under: uncultured bacterium
Lineage: Bacteria
Description: partial 16S ribosomal RNA
Rfam family: Bacterial small subunit ribosomal RNA
Source: RNAcentral
GAUGAACGCUGGCGGCGUGCCUAAUACAUGCAAGUCGAGCGAACGGACGAGAAGCUUGCUUCUCUGAUGUUAGCGGCGGACGGGUGAGUAACACGUGGAUAACCUACCUAUAAGACUGGGAUAACUUCGGGAAACCGGAGCUAAUACCGGAUAAUAUUUUGAACCGCAUGGUUCAAAAGUGAAAGACGGUCUUGCUGUCACUUAUAGAUGGAUCCGCGCUGCAUUAGCUAGUUGGUAAGGUAACGGCUUACCAAGGCAACGAUGCAUAGCCGACCUGAGAGGGUGAUCAGCAACACUGGAAGUGAGACACGGUCAGGACGCCUACGGGAGGCAGCAGUAGGGAAUAGUUGACAAUGGGCGAAAGCAGGACAGAGCAACGCCGCGGGAGGGAAGACGGUCUUCGGAUCGUAAACAUCUGCAAGUGGGGAAGAAGGGAAGUAUGGUAAGCAGUUGCCGUCCUGACGGUACCAAAAGAGAAAGCAACGGCUAACUGCGUG